GUGCAAGCAAUCCAAUUGGCUGUCGCUAGGUGGCGCGAAUGUUUUCAGGGGACUAAAUUCGGCCAUUUUGUUCCUUGACGCAGCAGAAGUGGGAUGCCGGUCGUGACGUUUCCCAUGAUGAAAAUGUUAAGGUAUAUGGCAAUCCGUCAUAAAGGUGAUUUCAAUACCACUUUGUCAAAACAUGUAACUCGGACUUUCGAGAGCCUGUCCAUUUUGCCGAAAUGUCGUGCCUCGUGUCUUGCUGCCAGUCGUACGUCUCGUCCCUAGCAAAAGCAAAAGUCUGCUGUUGGUUAUCUUGUUGCAGCCAGGUGGAGAAAGAUGUGAUGGGGACUAAUUGAACUGUUGUAUGCAGCGUGUGGUUCCAGUGUUAUCCAGAAGUAGCUGUGCUGGCGGUAUCCUGAACUAGCAUGAAGCAGCCUGAAGUUGCCAGUGAUAUCCGGGUCGCUGACUUUAAAUAUUUUUCUGUUUGUAUUUGUGUAUUUUGCCCUGCCAAUGUUAUCCUGUGUGUGAAAUAAUCUGUUCUCUUUUGUGUGUUUUUUUUGCUCUACCAGUGAUUUCCUGUGUUGCAGUCUUGAAAUGGUUUCACUGUCGUCUUUGGCGUUUUUAUUGUGCAGUAUACGAUUGAGGCAACCUGAUCUAUGUCAGGUUUGACACAGUCGACAACUGCUAGAUUAAAUUCCGGCUUUCUG
This is a long non-coding RNA of Daphnia pulex (common water flea), 689 nucleotides long. RefSeq lists it as uncharacterized. The transcript is spliced from 3 exons. Lineage: Eukaryota; Metazoa; Arthropoda; Branchiopoda; Diplostraca; Daphniidae. The record is from RefSeq and is a predicted model, not a curated record.